CUGACAACAUUACGGUUUCCGUUAGGGAGGGACAGAGAGAGAGAGAGAGCGAGAGAGAGAGAGAGAGAGAGAGAGAGAGAGAGAGAGGAAAAGAUGGGGCGGGGAAUUCCAGCUUUGUUCACUUCUCCUCUCUGGGAUGGUCGAGAGACUCGGUCUGGGAGGAGAAAAGUGAGAGAGGAGGAGGAGGAGGAAAGUGGAAUCAAGGUUUUCUCGUCUUGGUUUUUGUCAGCGUGUGUUUGGACAGAUUGAGGACUGGUAAGGAUUACGCAGAGCGACGGCUCCUCUCCUGACCUCAGCCGUCUGUUUGGAACUAGUUGUACCCCUGACUUGUCAUUGAAAUGUGUACAGACAUAAGAUGCAGCUACACAUCUCGCGGUCGCGGUUGGGACUUCUACUUAUCUUCGUUUACACCACAGGUCAGGAAGCCGUCUGGAAUUCCUCGGAGCGUCAAGGCCCCUGGAUGGGUGUGUCUUCAGUCCAACGCUCUGAAACCUUCGACGGCGACGGAACUGACCGGAACAUGUUAACUCUGGCGGGAGAGAGGGGUGAUGGGGGAGAGAGGGGAGAGAUGGGUAAUGGGGGAGAGAGGGGAGACAGGGUUGAUGGGGGAGAGAGGAGAGAGAUGGGAGAGAUGGGUGAUGGGGGAGAGAGGGGAGAGAUGGGAGAUGGGGGAGAGAGGGGAGAGAUGGGUAAUGGGGGAGAGAGGGGAGAGAUGGGUGAUGGGGGCAGUCUUCACCCAUCUGAAAGCUUUGUUGGGGAUUUAAAGUUGGACUGGAUCCCUGGUUCUACCCCCACCCUACAGGGGCUGUCCUCCCGGUCCUCUCCCCAGGCGGGGCUCACCGUGGCUGGGCGCGCCGAUAGGGAAGUCCCCCUGCUUCCUGAGGAAGAACCAGACAAUAGAAAGGAGAUGUCUGGACCUCGUCAGUCUGUUGACCACGUCACUACGGGUUACGACCCUGCUGGGAUGGACACACACACCGACACACACUCCUCACCCACACACUCACACACACACUCCUCACACACACACUCACCCACACACUCACCCACAGACCAACACACACACUCACACACACACCAACACACACACUCACACACACACUCACAAACACACUCACCCACAGACUCACCCACAGACUCACCCACAUACUCACCCACAGACUCACCCACAGACUCACCCACAGACUCACCCUCAGACACACCCACAGUCUCACCCACAGUCUCACCCACAGACUCACCCACAGACUCACCCACAGACUCACCCACAGUCUCACCCACAGACUCACCCACACACUCACCCACAGACCUACACACACACUCACACACACACCAACACACACACUCACACACACACUCACAAACACACUCACCCACAGACUCACCCACAGACUCACCCACAUACUCACCCACAGACUCACCCACAGACUCACCCACAGUCUCACCCACAGACUCACCCACAGACUCACCCACAGACUCACCCACAGUCUCACCCACAGACUCACCCACAGACUCACCCACAGACCAACACACACACUCACACACACACUCACCCACAGUCUCACCCACAGUCUCACCCACAGUCUCACCCACAGACUCACCCACAGACCAACACACCUACUCACCCACAGACUCACCCACAGUCUCACCCACAGUCUCACCCACCGACUCACCCACAGUCUCACCCACAGACUCACCCACAGACUCACCCACAGUCUCACCCACAGACCAACACACCUACUCACCCACAGUCUCACCCACAGUCUCACCCACAGUCUCACCCACAGACCAACACACCUCUCCCAGAGCCCUGCGUCUCCCGCUCUGUCUGACCUCCAGCCCUCUAGCAGGUCCAGGGGAGCCUGGCCGGACCCUAACCCCACAACGAUACACCCUGGCUGGGCUGACGGAGCGAGGCCGGUCCCCUGCGGGGAGGAGCACCAGGAGCGUCAGAGAAGGGCAGGGAGAGAGGGGACCUGGGAUGACCCCUGACCCUGAGGGGUUAAAGGUCACCUCUGAGGUCACCCUGAGUCAGACCAGCGGACCUGUGACUGAGGGGCUGCCUGAAUCAGACGUUACCGGUCGAACACCGGCAUCCUCUUCUCCGGAUCCAGACAGAAGUAAUCAAAGACAGACAACCCGGACAGAAAUGAACAGCGGAACAGAGUCGUUGUUCUCUUCAGAGACAGACAUUACUAAUGGAACAGAGUCGUUGUUCUCUUCAGAGACAGACAUUACUAAUGGAACAGAGUCGUUGUUCUCUUCAGAGACAGACAUUACUAAUGGAACAGAGUCGUUGUUCUCUUCAGAGACAGACAUUACUAAUGGAACAGAGUCGUUGUUCUCUUCAGAGACAGACAUUACUAAUGGAACAGAGUCGUUGUUCUCUUCAGAGACAGACAUUACUAAUGGAACAGAGUCGUUGUUCUCUUCAGAGACAGACAUUACUAGUGGAACACAGUCGUUGUUCUCUUCAGAGACAGACAUUACUAGUGGAACACAGUCGUUGUUCUCUUUAGAGACAGACAUUACUAGUGGAUCUCUAUCUCCCUCAAACACUCGAACAUCACAAAUCACUCUGACACCUCACAUCCUAACACACCUCACACACACUUCCUCAAACACCCUCCCUGACUCACCCCUCUCCUCCUCCCCCUCUCCUCUCCUCCCUGACUCACCCCUCUCCUCCUCCCCCUCUCCUCUCCUCUCUACCCUCCCUGACUCACCCCUCUCCUCCUCCUCCUCCUCCUCUCCUCUCCUCUCUACCCUCCCUGACUCACCUCUCUCCCCCUCCUCCUCCCCAUCUCCUCUCCUCCCUGACUCACCCCUCUCCCCCUCCCCCUCUCCUCUCCUCUCUACCCUCCCUGACUCACCCCUCUCCCCCUCCUCCUCCCCCUCUCCUCUCCUCCCUACCCUCCAUGACUCACCCCUCUCCCCCUCUCCUCUCCUCUCUACCCUCCCUGACUCACCCCUUUCCUCCUCCCCCUCUCCUCUCCUCCCUGACUCACCCCUCUCCUCCUCUCCUCUCCUCCCUACCCUCCCUGACUCACCCCUCUCCUCCUCCUCCUCCCCCUCUCCUCUCCUCCCUACCCUCCCUGACUCACCCCUCUCCUCCUCCUCCUCCUCCUCUCCUCUCCUCCCUGACUCACCCCUCCCCUCCUCCCCCUCUCCUCUCCUCCCUACCCUCCCUGACUCACCCCUCUCCUCCUCCUCCUCCCCCUCUCCUCUCCUCCCUACCCUCCCUACCCUCGCUGACUCACCCCUCUCCUCCUCCUCCCCCUCUCCUCUCCUCCCUACCCUCCCUGACUCACCCCUCUCCUCCUCUCCCUCUCCUCUCCUCCCUGACUCACCCCUCUCCCCCUCUCCUCUCCUCCCUACCCUCCCUGACUCACCCCUCUCCUCCUCUCCCUCUCCUCUACUCCCUACCCUUCCUGACUCACCCCUCUCCUCCUCUCCCUCUCCUCUACUCCCUGACUCACCCCUCUCCUCCUCCUCUUCCUCUCCUCUCCUCCCUACCCUCCUUGACUCCUCUCUCCCCUCCUCCCCCUCUCCUCUACUCCCUACCCUUCCUGACUCACCCCUCUCCUCCUCUCCCUCUCCUCUACUCCCUGACUCACCCCUCUCCCCCUCCCCUCUCCUCCCUACCCUCCCUGACUCACCCCUCUCCUCCUCCUCCCCCUCGCCUCUCCUCCCUACCCUCCCUGACUCACCCCUCUCCUCCUCCUCACCCCUCAGUCCUGACAGAGACAGAGACUACAACGGGACUACAAAUCCCUUCAUCUCCUCUCCAUUCACCACAGCAGAGCUGCCUCUGGGAGAUGUAGUCCAGGCCACCACAACCACAAAACAACCAUCCACAACCACGACACAACCAUCCACAACCACAAAACAACCAUUCUCUUCCACGCAGACAUCUCCCAGGUUCAGGACUACCAGACCCCCACCCUGGUCCACCCCUCACCCCAGCCAGGGCAGCCCAUCGGCGGGUAGAUCCUCUGGCCUGUCCCCCUCCUCUCCUCCCCACUCCACCAUCAGCCCCACACACAGACCCAGAGUUUACGUCCUGCCUGAUCGGCCCGCCGACAUCAAAGGUAGGAGACUGGAGUGUGUGUGUGUGUGUGUGUGUGUGUGUGUGUGUGUGUGUGUGUGUGUGUGUGUGUGUGUGUGUGUGUUCUAACAGUGUGUGUGUGUGUGUGUGUGUGUAUACUAACAGUGUGUGUGUGUGUGUGUGUGUGUGUGUGUGUGUGUGUGUAUACUAACAGUGUGUGUGUGUGUGUGUGUGUGUGUGUGUGGUGUGUGUGUGUGUGUGUGUGUGUGUGUGUGUAUACUAACAGUGUGUGUGUGUGUGUGUGUGUGUGUGUGUGUGUGUGUGUGUGUGUGUGUGUGUGUGUGUGUAUACUAACAGUGUGUGUGUGUGUGUGUGUGUGUAUAUACUAACAGUGUGUGUGUGUGUGUGUGUGUGUGUGUGUGUGUGUGUGUGUGUGUGUGUGUGUGUGUGUGUGUGUGUGUGUGUGUGUGUAUACUAACAGUGUGUGUGUGUGUGUGUGUGUGUGUGUGUGUGUGUGGUGUGUGUGUGUGUGUGUGUGUGUGUAUACUAACAGUGUGUGUGUGUGUGUGUGUAUACUAACAGUGUGUGUGUGUGUGUGUGUGUGUGUGUGUGUGUGUGUGUGUGUGUGUGUGUGUGUGUGUGUGUGUGUGUGGUGUGUGUGGUGUGUGUGUGUGUGUGUGUGUGUGUGUGUGUGUGUAUUACAGUUUUUCUCAGUCGCUUUGGUGCGUUUCUUAGAUCAAUCCAUUCUUGAUACUGCUUGUACAAAUUCCAAAUCAUCUAGUCACUUGUGCACAUCAUUAAAGCAAUGUAUUAUUCCUUUGAACAAAUUGCAAUUGCUUUUGUACAUGUUGCAAUUGAUAAUGUACAAGUGUCAGCUUUUUUCCACAUUUUCAAUUGCUCAUGUCAUGUUGAUCAAAAUAUAGUAGAUGGUUCUCUGUUGAAUAGUCUUACCCCUCAAAACAUCUAGGCAUUAGUUCCUUGCAUAAAGCCAUUACAUGCACAGCCAUUACACAAAGCCAUUACGCCUUCCCUGUAGCUCAGUUGGUAGAGCAUGGUGUUUGCAAUGCCAGGGUUGUGGGUUCAAUUCCCACUGGGGGCCAGCACAGGAAAAAAAAAAAUGUAUGAAAUUGUAAUGAAAUGUAUCCAUUCACUACUGUAAGUCGCUCUGGAUAAGAGCGUCUGCUAAAUGACAAAAAUGUAAAUGCAAAAAUUUAAAUGUACAUGCAAAAUUGUUGAACAAUUUGUCCUAAACUGUCAAGCAUAGUUUUACACAUUUGUAUUAGACCUUUUGUACAAAAACGUGAAUUGAUGAAUGGUGCAGGUGAAACUGACCCUCGCUCAUGAAGGAAGGUAAAAGUGUUAGUUCAACCAACCCAGUGGUCUAAAUUACUCAAAUGGCAUCUCACGAAGAAUCAAUUGGUAAUCAGAUAUAGACAGACCACAACACAGAGUUCAACAUGUCCCAAUAAUGGACGGACCGGGAAACGAACAGGGUCAACAGCCGAGAGGAGGAGGAGGAGGAGGAGGAGGAGGAGGAAGAGGAGGAGGAGGAGGAGGAGGAGGAAGAGGAGGAGGAGGAGGAAGAGGAGGAGGAGGAGGAGGAGGAGGAGAGGAGGAGGAGGAAGAGGAGGAGGAGGAGGAGGAGGAGGAGGAGGAAGAGGAGGAGGAGGAGGAGGAGGAGGAGGAGGAGGAAGAGGAUGCGCGGUGGAAGGCAAAACAGAGGAAGAGGCAGAAAGAGGACAUAGGCGCAUAUCUGAUGACAUAAGGGCCACUAUUCGUAGACCAUUGUUGUCAAUCAUGGCCUUUACAAUGGCUGAGGCGGGUCGAAGGGCGCAGCCGAAUAUCGGGAGAUCGACCGUGUCCUCAAUAGAUCAAACGUUUCGAAGAGAGAACAGGUAUGUCCACCAAUGUACACAGUUACUGUAUAUAAGCAGUUUACUGUAUACUUCCUACAAUGCUUCAUAUUACAGUAGUCCACUUGUAUUUCACAGCAUACAGAAAUAUACUCUAUACAGAUACAUACUGCACCUUACAUGCACCUUACACCUGUAUGUUUUACAGUAAAAUGUGUGUUCGCAUAGUUUUUUGUCUAUGUGAAAGUGUGCGAUGCAUCACUGCAUUUCCCCCCCCACAUACGACUGCAAGAUUACCUCAAACCGGUGGCAGAGGACGCCUUUUUCCCACCUCAACAGGAGGAGACUACAUGGUUCCCGAGCAAACAAUGCCAUGAGACUCAGGGAAACACAAAAAGGACCAUUAUAGAAGACGACGAUGUCUUUUGAAAACAUCCCC
RNAcentral lists this transfer RNA (6337 nucleotides) under Salmo trutta (river trout). RNAcentral's name for it is "lncRNA (ENSSTUG00000020123.1)". The stretch from base 5188 to 5241 matches the Rfam family "UnaL2 LINE 3' element". The record is from RNAcentral. Lineage: Eukaryota; Metazoa; Chordata; Actinopteri; Salmoniformes; Salmonidae.